AGGACGAACGCUGGCGGCGUGCUUAACACAUGCAAGUCGAGCGGUAAGGCCUUUCGGGGUACACGAGCGGCGAACGGGUGAGUAACACGUGGGUGAUCUGCCCUGCACUCUGGGAUAAGCCUGGGAAACUGGGUCUAAUACCGGAUAUGACCUGCUCUCGCAUGGGGGUGGGUGGAAAGAUUUAUCGGUGCAGGAUGGGCCCGCGGCCUAUCAGCUUGUUGGUGGGGUAAUGGCCUACCAAGGCGACGAC
Molecule: ribosomal RNA, 250 nt
Filed under: uncultured soil bacterium
Lineage: Bacteria
Description: partial 16S ribosomal RNA
Rfam family: Bacterial small subunit ribosomal RNA
Source: RNAcentral